RNAcentral lists this transfer RNA (86 nucleotides) under Candidatus Liptonbacteria bacterium CG11_big_fil_rev_8_21_14_0_20_35_14. RNAcentral's name for it is "tRNA-Leu". It matches the Rfam family "tRNA". From Rfam's summary of the family: Transfer RNA (tRNA) molecules are approximately 80 nucleotides in length. Their secondary structure includes four short double-helical elements and three loops (D, anti-codon, and T loops). Lineage: Bacteria; Candidatus Liptoniibacteriota. The record is from RNAcentral.
GCCCAGGUGGCGGAAAUAGGUAUACGCGCACGACUCAAAAUCGUGUCCCGUAAGGGAUGUGGGUUCAAUUCCCACCCUGGGCACAA